UACGUAGGCAGCGAGCGUUGUUCGGAGUUACUGGGCGUAAAGGGUGUGUAGGCGGUCGUUUAAGUUUGGUGUGAAAUCUCCCGGCUCAACUGGGAGGGUGCGCCGAAUACUGAAUGACUAGAGUGUGGGAGAGGUGAGUGGAAUUCCUGGUGUAGCGGUGAAAUGCGUAGAUAUCAGGAGGAACACCGGUGGUGUAGACGGCUCACUGGACCAUAACUGACGCUGAGACACGAAAGCGCGGGUAGCAAACAGG
RNAcentral lists this ribosomal RNA (253 nucleotides) under uncultured bacterium. RNAcentral's name for it is "partial 16S ribosomal RNA". It matches the Rfam family "Bacterial small subunit ribosomal RNA", at positions 524 to 776 of the family's 1533-position model. The record is from RNAcentral.